UAUUGAUGAGACUACUAUGGGUUACUCAAUAAAUUAUUUCUCUUACAGGGAAUGCCUUUCAAAAGUCAUCUCUAGGGAGGCUGUCCCUCCAGACGUGGCACCUGAAGAUCCUAAGGUGGAGUCUGGAUCAAUUUCUUUUCCUCUAAAGGCACUUGUUGAUAGUUCAUCCUUCUGACAAGAUGGCAAAAGCAAUGAACGAAGCAACAAAGAUCAACAGAUUAGAAGAGAAGAACCAUGAGAGGAUGUCAGGGGUAAGGAUAACAGCGGAUGGAGUGCUGGACCUGGAUUCAGAAAGACUCAUCUUCCUGUGUUCAAAUCCUGCCUCAGACACUUACAAACUGUGUGACUGUGGGCAAAUCACAACCCUGUUUGCCUCACUUUCUUCAUCUGUAAAUGAGGGAGAAGGAAAUGGCAAACCACUCCAGAAUCUUGGCCAAGAAAACCCCAAAUGGGGUCACUAAGAGUUGGACACAACUGAAAAAUGACUAAAGAACAACAAAUUGCAGUGAAUAACCCUUGAUCUCUGAAAAGUUAUGCUAGUGGACCAUAGACUUUCUCAGGUCAUACCACACUGGAAAAUCCUCAAGUGCUGGCUAGGAGUCAAACUGCAUGUCUGUCAUCCAAAGACCAGCCUGGUUACAAUAACAGCAAUAUUGUAUGAUGAUCAACUGUGAAUGAUUUAGGUAUUCUAAGCAAUACGGAGACCCAAGGCAAUUCGAAAGGACUCAUGAUGAAAAAUGCAAUUCACCUCUAGAGAAAGAACUGAUGGUGUCUGAAUGCGUAUCAAAGCAUACUUUUUUCAGUUUAUUUGGUUGUUAGUGGGGGUUUUUUUGUUUUGUGUUUUCUUUCACAACAUGACUAAUAUGGAAAUAUUAAUUUUGCAUAUUGGAUUUUCUAAAAGAAUGAUACACUUGUAUUAACAAUGAUCAUAUCUGAAAUUAAUCUAGCACAACAUAGAUUACAAAGUAACUUCUUUACAUCACCUCAUUUAAUCAAAUCUGACAAUAAAUAAAUGGAAACACAAUUUUUAAAAAAAUGA
RNAcentral lists this long non-coding RNA (1039 nucleotides) under Vombatus ursinus (common wombat). RNAcentral's name for it is "lncRNA (ENSVURG00010018733.1)". The record is from RNAcentral. Lineage: Eukaryota; Metazoa; Chordata; Mammalia; Diprotodontia; Vombatidae.